GAUGAACGCUGGCGGCGUGCCUAAUACAUGCAAGUCGAGCGGACGGACGAGAAGCUUGCUUUUCUGAUGUUAGCGGCGGACGGGUGAGUAACACGUGGAUAACCUACCUAUAAGACUGGGAUAACUUCGGGAAACCGAAUCUAAUACCCGAUAAUAUUUUGAACCGCAUGGUUCAAAAGUGAAAGACCGUCUUGCUGUCACUUAGAGAUGGAUCCGCGCUGCAUUAGCUAGUUGGUAAGGUAACGGCUUACCAAGGCAACGAUGCAUAGCCGACCUGAGAGGGUGAUCGGCCACACUGGAACUGAGACACGGUCCAGACUCCUACGGGAGGCAGCAGUAGGGAAUAUUCCGCAAUGGGCGAAAGCCUGACGGAGCAACGCCGCGUGAGUGAUGAAGGUCUUCGGAUCGUAAAACUCUGUUAUUAGGGAAGAACAUAUGUGUAAGUAAAUGUGCACAUCUUGACGGUACCUAAUCAGAAAGCAACGGCUAACUACGUG
Molecule: ribosomal RNA, 497 nt
Filed under: uncultured bacterium
Lineage: Bacteria
Description: partial 16S ribosomal RNA
Rfam family: Bacterial small subunit ribosomal RNA
Source: RNAcentral